RNAcentral lists this ribosomal RNA (901 nucleotides) under Kineococcus sp. RNAcentral describes it as "bacterial SSU rRNA". It matches the Rfam family "Bacterial small subunit ribosomal RNA", at positions 591 to 1489 of the family's 1533-position model. The record is from RNAcentral. Lineage: Bacteria; Bacillati; Actinomycetota; Actinomycetes; Kineosporiales; Kineosporiaceae.
UCCGGGAAAACUCAGGGCUCAACUCUGAGCUUGCAGUGGGUACGGGCACACUAGAGUGCUGUAGGGGAGACUGGAAUUCCUGGUGUAGCGGUGAAAUGCGCAGAUAUCAGGAGGAACACCGGUGGCGAAGGCGGGUCUCUGGGCAGUUACUGACGCUGAGGAGCGAAAGCAUGGGGAGCGAACAGGAUUAGAUACCCUGGUAGUCCAUGCCGUAAACGUUGGGCGCUAGGUGUGGGGUCCAUUCCACGGAUUCCGUGCCGCAGCUAACGCAUUAAGCGCCCCGCCUGGGGAGUACGGCCGCAAGGCUAAAACUCAAAGGAAUUGACGGGGGCCCGCACAAGCGGCGGAGCAUGCGGAUUAAUUCGAUGCAACGCGAAGAACCUUACCAAGGCUUGACAUGCGCGGUGGAAUCCCAGAGAUGGGGUGUCAUUUAGUUGGUCGCGUACAGGUGGUGCAUGGUUGUCGUCAGCUCGUGUCGUGAGAUGUUGGGUUAAGUCCCGCAACGAGCGCAACCCUCGUUCCAUGUUGCCAGCACGUUAUGGUGGGGACUCAUGGGAGACUGCCGGGGUCAACUCGGAGGAAGGUGGGGAUGACGUCAAAUCAUCAUGCCCCUUAUGUCUUGGGCUUCACGCAUGCUACAAUGGCCAGUACAGAGGGCUGCGAUACCGUGAGGUGGAGCGAAUCCCAAAAAGCUGGUCUCAGUUCGGAUCGGGGUCUGCAACUCGACCCCGUGAAGUCGGAGUCGCUAGUAAUCGCAGAUCAGCAACGCUGCGGUGAAUACGUUCCCGGGCCUUGUACACACCGCCCGUCACGUCAUGAAAGUCGGUAACACCCGAAGCCGGUGGCCCAACCCGUAAGGGGGGGAGCUGUCGAAGGUGGGACUGGCGAUGGGACGAAGCGU